RNAcentral lists this ribosomal RNA (201 nucleotides) under Salmonella enterica subsp. enterica serovar Infantis. RNAcentral describes it as "partial 16S ribosomal RNA". It matches the Rfam family "Bacterial small subunit ribosomal RNA", at positions 1 to 209 of the family's 1533-position model. RNAcentral also lists the same sequence under 7 other names. Lineage: Bacteria; Pseudomonadati; Pseudomonadota; Gammaproteobacteria; Enterobacterales; Enterobacteriaceae. The record is from RNAcentral.
AAAUUGAAGAGUUUGAUCAUGGCUCAGAUUGAACGCUGGCGGCAGGCCUAACACAUGCAAGUCGAACGGUAACAGGAAGCAGCUUGCUGCUUCGCUGACGAGUGGCGGACGGGUGAGUAAUGUCUGGGAAACUGCCUGAUGGAGGGGGAUAACUACUGGAAACGGUGGCUAAUACCGCAUAACGUCGCAAGACCAAAGAGG